Molecule: ribosomal RNA, 300 nt
Filed under: uncultured Aquifex sp.
Lineage: Bacteria; Pseudomonadati; Aquificota; Aquificia; Aquificales; Aquificaceae
Description: bacterial SSU rRNA
Rfam family: Bacterial small subunit ribosomal RNA
Source: RNAcentral
GACAUCGCUGUGGCGGGAGCCGAGGUAAGAAAGAGGGGGCGAGCGUUAAUCGGAUUUAGUGGGCGUUAGGCAUGCGUAGGCGGCUUGCUAAGUCUGAUUUGACAUCCCCGUGCUGAACUUGUGAAUUGCAUUCGAUGUUGGAAAACUAGAGUAUGGGAGAUGAUGGUAGAAUUCCAUGUGUAGCGGUGAAAUGCGUAGAGAUCUGGAGGAAUACCGAUGGCGAAGGCAGCCAUCUGGCCUAAUACUUACGCUGAGGUACGAAAGCAUGGGGAGCAAACAGAAUUAGAUACCCCGGUAGUC